This 6986-nucleotide long non-coding RNA is filed under the name Salvia miltiorrhiza (redroot sage). RNAcentral describes it as "long non-coding RNA (SMIL_LNC005899)". Lineage: Eukaryota; Viridiplantae; Streptophyta; Magnoliopsida; Lamiales; Lamiaceae. The record is from RNAcentral.
UCAACUAGAAGAUAAAUGGCAGUAGAAAAAUAUUGUACUCCCUCUGCCACCCUCGAUAAACACUUUAAAAAUACUGUCAGCAUCAAAAAAUCCAUCCAUCCAUGUCCAACAACUAGACCAAAAUAGCCCCAUCUUAAGCUCCUUAUCUGAUCGAACUAAAACUUAUUUUGCAUCUCCUGUCACAUGGUGAGGCCAAAAACAAUAUCCACAUCUAUGUAACAAACAAAAAACUGAUCAAAUAGAACAAAAGGGAACCAAUCACCAAACCAGAACCGCUUUUCCUUCAAAAAUGGUGAAGAACCACACAAAGAUCCAUCUGAAAUGGAAGUGCAUAAACAAUAAGCAAGGGGAAAGCCCAGGAAGAAGACAAUGACAGUAGAAAAAUAUUAUACUCCCUCUACAAUGCUUCACGUCCAACAACCAGACCAAGAUAGCCCCACCUUAAGCUCCGACUUUGGUAGAAUCAAAACUUAUUUUGUAUCUCCUGUCAAAGGGUGGGACCAAAAACAAUAUACACAUGUACGUAACAAACAAAAAAUAGAUUAAACAGAGCAAAAGGGAACCAAGCACCAAACCAGAACCGCCUUCCCACGAGAACUGGUUAAUUAGAACCCAAAGAUCAAACAUUUGAAGAUUAAAGAGCAUAACAAUAAGCAAAGGGAAAAAGUUCACCUAGAAGAUAAAUCACAAUAGAAAAAUAAUAUACUCCUGUUGACACCCACCAUAAACACUAUACCAAUGGCAGCAUCCAAGAUUGGUCCAUAUCCAAAUAACCAGACCAAGAUAGCCUCACCUUAAAUACCUAACUUUGAUGGAAUCAAAACCAAUUUUGUAUCUCCUGACACAGGGUGAGGCAGAAAACAAGGUCCAAGUCUACGUAACAAAAUAAAACUAUAAUAGAGAGCAAAGAUAACCAAGGAUCAAACCAGAACAGUCUUCCACAGAAGCCUGAUUAAGAAACACACAACGAUCCGGCAUCUGGAAAUUGAAAAGAAUAACGAUAAGCAAGGGAAAGUUUAGGUAGAAUAUAAAAUUUAGUAAAAAAGUUACAAUACUAUACUCCCUAUGCAACCCUUGAUAAACACUAUAUCAAUGACAGCGUCAAAGGUUGCUCCGUGUCCAACAAUCAGACCAAGAUUGCACCACCAUAAGCUCCUACUUUGAUAGAAUCAAAACUUAAUUUAUAUUUUGUGUCAUAGGGUGAUGCAGAAAACAAUAUCCACGCCAACGUAACAAACAAAAAACUGAUGAAAGAGAAAAAAGAUAACAAAGCAUCAAACCGAACAGCCUUCCAAUUAAGAACCACAACGAUCAGAAAUCUGAAAAUUGAAGAGUAUAACGACAAGCACCGGAAACUCUAGGUAGAAGAGAAAAUAUAGUAGAAGAAAAUGUAGUAUAACAAUCUGCAUCCCUCAAUAAACAUUAUAUCAAUUGACAUCUUAUAUUAGUCCGCAUCCAACAACCCCACCAAGUUGGCCCCCACCUUAAGCUCCCACUUUGAUAGAAUAAAACUGAAUUUGUAUCUCCUGUCACAGGGUGAGGGCGAAAAAAAUAUCAAAGUCUACGUAACAAAAAAAAAAAAACUAUAAUAGAGAACACAGACAACCAAGCGUCAAACAAGAACUGCCUUUCAGAGAAGCUUGAUUAAGAACAAAACAGCAACCAAAGAUUUGUCCAUGUCCAAAAACCAGACCAAGAUAGCCCCCACCUUAAGCUCCUACUUUGAUAGAAUCAAAACCUAUUUUGUAUCUCCUGUCACAGGGUGAGGCUGAAAACAACAUCCAAGUCUACAUAACAGCAAAAGAACUAUAAUUGAGAGAGCAAAGAUAACCAAUUAUCAAACCCGAACUGCCUUCCAGUUAAACUUGAUUAAGAACCACAUAAUGAACAGGCAUCUGGAAAUGGAAGAGAGACUAACAAUAACCACAGGAAAGUCUAGAUGGAAGAUAAAUUGUAGUAGAAAAAAAUACUAUAUUAUACUCCCUCUGCCAUCCUCGAUAAACACUAUAAUUGACAGCGUCAAAGGUUGAUCUGUGGCCAAUAUAACUAAACCAAGAUUAGCCCCACCUUGAGCUCCUACUUUGAUAAAAUCAAAACAAAAUUUUUAUCAUCUGCCAUAGGAUGAGGCAGAAAUACAAUAUACACGUAUACGUAACAAACAAAAAAACUGAUGAUAGAGAGAAAAGAUAAACCCAGCAUCAAACCAGAAGUGCCUUCAAGUAAAGAACACCUGGAAAUUGAAGAGUAUAACGAUAAGUAUAGGAAACUCAAGGUAAAAGAGAAAACGUAAAAAAAAAAAAAAUAACUAUACUGUACACCAUCUGCCACCCUCGACAAACACUAUAUCAAUGAUGGCAUCAUAGAUUAGUCCAUAUCCAAAAACCAGACCAAGAUAACCCCCACCUUAAGCUUCAACUUUGAUAGAAUCAAAACCUAUUUUGUCUCCUGGCACAGGGUGAGGACCAAAACAUUGUCCAAGUCUACAUAACAAAUAAACAAUAAUUACAGAGCAAAGGUGACCAAUUAGCAAACCAGAACAGCCUUCCCGUGAAGCUUGAUUAAAAACCACACAGCGAUCAGGCAUCUGGAAAUUGAUGAGAACAACGGUAAGCAUGGGAAAGUCUAGGUAGAAGAUAAAAGAUAGUAAAAAAAAAAAAAACUAUUCUAUACUCUCUUUGCCAGGCCCACACCACUAUAUCAAUGACAGCAUCAAAGGUAGAUCCGUGUUCAAUAACCAGGCCAACAUUAGCCACACCAUAAGCUCCUUCUUUCAAAACUUAAUUUUUAUCUCCUAUCAUAGGGUGAGGCAGAGAACAAUAUCCACGUCUACAUAACAACAAAAAAUUGUUGAAACUGACAAAAGAUAACCAAGAAAACAAGAAGUGCCAUCCAUUAUGGAAAUUGAAGAGUAUAACUAUAAACACGGGAAACUCUAGGUAGAAGAGAAAAUGUAGUAGAAAAAAAAAAUACUAUUAUGUAUUUCCUUUGCGACCCUCGAUUUACAAUAUACCAAUGAUAACAUCAAAGAUCUGUCCGCGUCCAAAAACCAGACCAAGAUAGCCCCCACAUUAAGCUCCUACAGUGAUGGAAUCAAAACCUAUUUUGUAUCUCCUGUCACAGGGUAGGCCCAAAACAAUAUCCAAGUCUAUAUAACAACAAAAGAAAUAUAAUAGAGAGAUCAAAUGCAACCAAUUAUGAACCCAGAACUGCCUUCCAGUUAAGCUUGAUUAAGAACCACACAACGAUCAGGCAUCUGGAAAUUGAAGAGAAUAACAAUAAGCACGGGAAAGUCAAGAUGGAAGAUAAAUUGUAGCAGAAUUAAUACAAUACUAUACUCCCUCUGACACCCUCGAUAAACAUUAUAUCAGUGACAGCAUCAAAAGUUGAUAUGUCUCCAAUAACUAGACCAAGAUUAGCCCCACCAUAAGCUGCUUCUUUCACAACUUAAUUUUUAACCCCUGUCACAAGGUGAGGCAGAAAACAAUAUCCACGUCUACGUAACAAAUAAAAGAUUGUUGAAACUGACAAAAGAUAACCAAGCAUACCAGAAGUGCCUUCCAGUUAAGAACCACACAACAAUCAGACAUCUGGAAAUUGAAGAGUAUAACUAUUAGCACGGGAAACUCUAGGUAGAAGAGAAAAUGUAGUAGAAAAAAAAUACUAUUAUGUACUCCAUGUACUCCCUUUACCACCCACAUUAAACUAUAUCAAUGACAGCAUGAAGGAUUUGUCAGUGUACCAAAAACCAGACCAAGACACGCCCCCACCUUAAGCUCCUACUUUGAUAGAAUCAGAACCUAUUUUGUAUCUCCUAUCACAGGGUGAGGCUGAAACCAACAUCGAGUCUAAAUAACAACAAAAGAACUACAAUAGAGAGAGCAAAGGUAACCAACUAUCAAACCCGAACUGCCGUCCAGUAAGCUUGAUUAAGAACCACACAACGAUCGGGCAUCUGGAAAUGGAAGAGAAUAACGAUAAGCACCGGAAGGUCUAGAUGGAAGAUAAAUUGUAUUAGAAGAAAUACUAUACUAACUCCCUCUGCCACCCUCGAAAAACAUAUCAUGACCAUCAAAGGAUUGAUUGUGUGCAAUAACUGACUAAGAUUAGCCCUACCUUAAGCCCUACUUUGAUAAAAUUAAAACUUAAUUUUUAUCUCAUGUCAUAGGGUGGGGCAGAAAACAAUAUCACGUCUAUGUACAAACAAAAAUUGUUGAAAUGACAAAAGAUAACCAAACAUCAAACCAGAAGUGUCAUCCAGUUAAGAACCACCCCACGAUCAGACAUCUGGAAAUUGAAGAGUAUAUCUAUAAGCACGGGAAACUCUAGGUAGAAGAGAAAAUGUAUAGAAAUAAAAAUACUAUUAUGUACUCCCUUUGCCACCCUCGAUUAACACAAUAUCAAUGACUCAUCAAAGAUCUGUCCGCGUCCAAAAACCAGACCAAGAUAGCCCCCACAUUAAGCUCCUACAGUGAUGGAAUCAAAACCUAUUUUGUAUCUCCUGUCACAGGGUAGGCCCAAAACAAUAUCCAAGUCUAUAUAACAACAAAAGAAUAUAAUAGAGAGAUCAAAUGCAACCAAUUAUGAACCCAGAACUGCCUUCCAGUUAAGCUUGAUUAAGAACCAAACAACGAUCAGGCAUCUGGAAAUCGAAGAGAAUAACAAUAAGCACGGGAAAGUCAAGAUGGAAGAUAAAUUGUAGCAGAAUUAAUACAAUACUAUACUCCCUCUGACACCCUCGAUAAACAUUAUAUCAGUGACAGCAUCAAAAGUUGAUGUCUCCAGUAACUAGACCAAGAUUAGCCCCACCAUAAGCUGCUUCUUUCACAACUUAAUUUUUAACUCCUGUCACAAGGUGAGGCAGAAAACAAUAUCCACGUCUACGUAACAAAUAAAAGAUUGUUGAAACUGACAAAAGAUAACCAAGCAUACCAGAAGUGCCUUCCAGUUAAGAACCACACAACAAUCAGACAUCUGGAAAUUGAAGAGUAUAACUAUUAGCACGGGAAACUCUAGGUAGAAGAGAAAAUGUAGGUAGAAAAAAAAUACUAUUAGUACUCCCUUUACCACCCACUAUUAACACUAUAUCAAUGACAGCAUGAAGGAUUUGUCAGUGUCCAAAAACCAGACCAAGACAGCCCCCACCUUAAGCUCCUACUUGAUAGAAUCAGAACCUAUUUUGUAUCUCCUAUCACAGGGUGAGGCUGAAACCAACAUCCGAGUCUAAAUAACAACAAAAGAACUACAAUAGAGAGAGCAAAGGUAACCAACUAUCAAACCCGAACUGCCGUCCAGUUAAGCUUGAUUAAGAACCACACAACGAUCGGGCAUCUGGAAAUGAAGAGAAUAACGAUAAGCACCGGAAGGUCUAGAUGGAAGAUAAAUUGUAUAGAAGAAAUACUAUACUAUACUCCCUCUGCCACCCUCGAUAAACACACUAUAUAGUGACCACGUCAAAGGAUUGACUUGUGUGCAAUAACUUGACUAAGAUUAGCCCUACCUUAAGCUCCUACUUGAUAAAAUUAAAACUUAAUUUUUAUCUCAUGUCAUAGGGUGGGGCAGAAAACAAUAUCCACGUCUAUGUAGCAAACAAAAUUGUUGAACUGACAAAAGAUAACCAAACAUCAAACAGAAGUGUCUCCAGUUAAGAACCACCCCACGAUCAGACAUCUGGAAAUUGAAGAGUAUAUCUAUAAGCACGGGAAACUCGAGGUAGAAGAGAAAAUGUAGUAGAAUAAAAAUACUAUUAUGUACUCCCUUUGCCACCCUCGAUUAACACAAUAUCAAUGACUACAUCAAAGAUCUGUCGCGUCCAAAAACCAGACCAAGAUAGCCCCCACAUUAAGCUCCUACAGUGAUGGAAUCAAAACCUAUUUUGUAUCUCCUGUCACAGGGUAGGCUCAAAACAAUAUCCAAGUCUAUAUAACAACAAAAGAAAUAUAAUAGAGAGAUCAAAUGCAACCAAUUAUGAACCCAGAACUGCCUUCCAGUUAAGCUUGAUUAAGAACCAAACAACGAUCAGGCAUCUGGAAAUCGAAGAGAAUAACAAUAAGCACGGGAAAGUCAAGAUGGAAGAUAAAUUGUAGCAGAAUUAAUACAAUACUAUACUCCCUCUGACACCCUCGAUAAACAUUAUAUCAGUGACAGCAUCAAAAGUUGAUAGUCUCCAUAACUAGACCAAGAUUAGCCCCACCAUAAGUGCUUCUUUCACAACUUAAUUUUUAACCCCUGUCACAAGGUGAGGCAGAAAACAAUAUCCACGUCUACGUAACAAAUAAAAGAUUGUUGAAACUGACAAAAGAUAACCAAGCAUACCAGAAGUGCCUUCCAGUUAAGAACCACACAACAUCAGACAUCUGGAAAUUGAAGAGUAUAUCUAUAGCACGGGAAAUUCUAGGUAGAAGAGAAAAUGUAGUAGAAAAAAAAUACUAUUAUGUACUCCCUUUCCACCCCGAUUAAACAUAUCAAUGACCAUAAGAUUGUCGGUCCAAAAACCAGACCAAGACAGCCCCCACCUUAAGCUCCUACUUUGAUAGAAUCAGAACCUAUUUUGUAUCUCCUAUCACAGGGUGAGGCUGAAACCAACAUCGAGUCUAAAUAACAACAAAAGAACUACAAUAGAGAAAGCAAAGGUAACCAACUAUCAAACCCGAACUGCCGUCCAGUUAAGCUUGAUUAAGAACCACACAACGAUCGGGCAUCUGGAAAUGGAAGAGAAUAACGAUAAGCACCGGAAGGUCUAGAUGGAAGAUAAAUUGUAUUAGAAGAAAUACUAUCUAUACUCCCUCUGCCACCCUCGAUAAACACACUAUAUCAGUGACCACGUCAAAGGAUUGACUUGUGUGCAAUAACUUGACUAAGAUUAGCCCUACUUAAGCUCCUACUUUGAUAAAAUUAAAACUUAAUUUUUAUCUCAUGUCAUAGGGUGGGGCAGAAAACAAUAUCCACGUCUAUGUACAAACAAAAUUGUUGAAAUGACAAAAGAUAAC